RNAcentral lists this ribosomal RNA (460 nucleotides) under uncultured bacterium. RNAcentral's name for it is "partial 16S ribosomal RNA". It matches the Rfam family "Bacterial small subunit ribosomal RNA", at positions 338 to 795 of the family's 1533-position model. The record is from RNAcentral.
CCUACGGGAGGCAGCAGUGAGGAAUAUUGGUCAAUGGACGAGAGUCUGAACCAGCCAAGUAGCGUGAAGGAUGACUGCCCUAUGGGUUGUAAACUUCUUUUAUAUGGGAGUAAAAUCUUCCACGUGUGGGCUUUUGUAUGUACCUUAUGAAUACGGAUCGGCUAACUCCGUGCCAGCAGCCGCGGUAAUACGGAGGAUCCGAGCGUUAUCCGGAUUUAUUGGGUUUAAAGGGAGCGUAGGUGGAUUGUUAAGUCAGUUGUGAAAGUUUGCGGCUUAAACGUAAAAUUGCCGUUGAAACUGGCAGUCUUGAGUACACUAGAGGUGGGCGGAAUUCGUGGUGUAGCGGUGAAAUGCAUAGAUAUCACGAAGAACUCCGAUUGCGAAGGCAGCAUACUGGACUGCAACUGACACUGAGGCUCGAAAGUGUGGGUAUCAAACAGGAUUAGAUACCCUAGUAGUC